RNAcentral lists this ribosomal RNA (385 nucleotides) under uncultured bacterium. Its description in RNAcentral is "bacterial SSU rRNA". It matches the Rfam family "Bacterial small subunit ribosomal RNA", at positions 29 to 436 of the family's 1533-position model. The record is from RNAcentral.
AGCGAACGCUGGCGGCAGGCUUAACACAUGCAAGUCGAACGCUCGUGGCAACACGGGAGUGGCAGACGGGUGAGUAACGCGUGGGAACGUACCCUUUGGUUCGGGAUAACCCAGGGAAACUUGGGCUAAUACCGGAUAAGCCCCUUCGGGGGAAAGAUUGAUUUGCCGAAGGAUCGGCCCGCGUCCGAUUAGCUAGUUGGUGAGGUAAUGGCUCACCAAGGCGACGAUCGGUAGCUGGUCUGAGAGGAUGAUCAGCCACACUGGGACUGAGACACGGCCCAGACUCCUACGGGAGGCAGCAGUGGGGAAUAUUGGACAAUGGGGGGCAACCCUGAUCCAGCCAUGCCGCGUGAGUGAUGAAGGCCCUAGGGUUGUAAAGCUCUUU